UUGUACACACCGCCCGUCACACCACGAGAGUUUGUAACACCCGAAGUCGGUGAGGUAACCUUUUUGGAGCCAGCCGCCUAAGGUGGGAUAGAUGAUUGGGGUGAAGUCGUAACAAGGUAGCCGUAUCGGAAGGUGCGGCUGGAUCACCUCCUUUCUAAGGAA
This 162-nucleotide ribosomal RNA is filed under the name Collinsella aerofaciens. RNAcentral's name for it is "partial 16S ribosomal RNA". It matches the Rfam family "Bacterial small subunit ribosomal RNA", at positions 1381 to 1533 of the family's 1533-position model. Lineage: Bacteria; Bacillati; Actinomycetota; Coriobacteriia; Coriobacteriales; Coriobacteriaceae. The record is from RNAcentral.